RNAcentral lists this long non-coding RNA (632 nucleotides) under Elaeis guineensis (African oil palm). RNAcentral describes it as "long non-coding RNA (EGUI_LNC026587)". Lineage: Eukaryota; Viridiplantae; Streptophyta; Magnoliopsida; Arecales; Arecaceae. The record is from RNAcentral.
AUGUAGCAUAAGUGUAUAUAUAAAUAUAUGAAGUAUGUAAUAUAUAUGUAUAUAUAAAUAUAUAAAAUGAUGAUAUUUUAAUUUCGAUUUGUCGGUUGAGUUCGAUUUUAAUAGAUCACAUAAAUCAAUAACCAAACUAAAAUAUUGAUUUUUUUAUUUUAUUCAAUCAAAUUAAAUUAAUUAAACCGUCAAACCAUCAUAAUUCGAUUUGGAUCAAAUUGGAUGGUUUAGAUGAUUUAAUCGGAAUUUUUUGUACCCCUACCCUUCAUAAGAAGUGCACAUUGGAUUGGAUUGGUAAAUAGCCCAUGCAACCAGACUACACUGGAUCAGGCUAAGAUUUCUCCAGGAAUUAAUUCUUGGGACAAUCCUAAAUUGAGGCAGCUCUGGGUUUAGUUAGCCAGAUAAGCUAGGUUGACAUGCCGGGUUUGUAGUAAAAGCAAACUUGACCAGCCCAAAUAAAUAUUUCCCUGGCUAUCUAAAUAAAAGUUCUUAGGAGUUUGACCUAGCCUCAAUAUGACCCAUUGUGUUCCAUAACAAAUUCUGCAGUUUUGAGAAAGAACAAGAGAGGAAAUAACUGCUCUGUGGUGCAGUAUUGUCAUGGCCCGGCCCAUUGAGCCUUCAACCCAGCCCAA